Molecule: long non-coding RNA, 391 nt
Filed under: Podarcis lilfordi (Lilford's wall lizard)
Lineage: Eukaryota; Metazoa; Chordata; Lepidosauria; Squamata; Lacertidae
Source: RNAcentral
CUCCCCUGCUUCAGCUUGAGCUCAGUUAUAACGGCUUUUUCACUCCAUCCCCACACUGAGCAGCAGCACUAAAUAUGCCUUCAGAGUAAACACUGGCGGGCAGGCGUUGCCAGCUCUGCUCGCCAGCAGCCUCUCUUUAGCCUCAUUCACAACAGAGAUUUUGCCGGCACUCUGAUGGCGCCUUGGGUCCAUUGCAUACCUGUCUGCUAAGGCAGCAAUGGGCAACUCACUUGCCAGGUCAGUCACUGGGCUGGUCAAAAAGAGGUUUGGGCAGAUGAUCCCUUUCCACAAUCUGACUGUGUGUUCAUCUCUGUGCCUGGCAUUCAAUGGCCACUGUUUUGCUAAGAACACACCACCCUUUAGGACAGCAACGGAUUCAAGCAACCCCAGG